Molecule: unclassified non-coding RNA, 174 nt
Filed under: uncultured fungus
Lineage: Eukaryota; Fungi
Description: sequence contains ITS1, 5.8S rRNA gene
Source: RNAcentral
CCGAGUGAGGGCCCUCUGGGUCCAACCUCCCACCCGUGUUUAUUUACCUCGUUGCUUCGGCGGGCCCGCCUUAACUGGCCGCCGGGGGGCUCACGCCCCCGGGCCCGCGCCCGCCGAAGACACCCCCGAACUCUGCCUGAAGAUUGUCGUCUGAGUGAAAAUAUAAAUUAUUUA